RNAcentral lists this ribosomal RNA (338 nucleotides) under Epinephelus poecilonotus (dot-dash grouper). RNAcentral's name for it is "partial 12S ribosomal RNA". It matches the Rfam family "Bacterial small subunit ribosomal RNA", at positions 1044 to 1521 of the family's 1533-position model. Lineage: Eukaryota; Metazoa; Chordata; Actinopteri; Perciformes; Serranidae. The record is from RNAcentral.
UACCGCCGUCGUCAGCUUACCCUAUGAAGGCCCCUUAGUAAGCACAAUUGGCACAGCCUAAAACGUCAGGUCGAGGUGUAGCGUAUGGAAAGGGAAGAAAUGGGCUACAUUCCCUACAAUAGGUAAUUACGGAUAAUAUUACUGAAAUGUAUAUCUAGAAGGAGGAUUUAGCAGUAAGCAGAAAAUAGAGUGUUCUGCUGAAACCGGCCCUGAAGCGCGCACACACCGCCCGUCACUCUCCCCAAGCGUAUCUUCACAACCUAACUUAAAACCUUUCAUUAGCAAAGGGGAGGCAAGUCGUAACAUGGUAAGUGUACCGGAAGGUGCACUUGGUAAAA